GCCGAAGUGGUGAAAUUGGUAGACACGCAACGUUCAGGGCGUUGUGCUCGCAAGGGCAUGGGGGUUCGAGUCCCCCCUUCGGCA
Molecule: transfer RNA, 84 nt
Filed under: Dictyobacter aurantiacus
Lineage: Bacteria; Bacillati; Chloroflexota; Ktedonobacteria; Ktedonobacterales; Dictyobacteraceae
Also listed under: 5 other names
Rfam family: tRNA
About the family: Transfer RNA (tRNA) molecules are approximately 80 nucleotides in length.
Source: Rfam by way of RNAcentral